UGGGGAAUCUUGGACAAUGGGCGCAAGCCUGAUCCAGCCAUGCCGCGUGAAGGAUGAAGUAUUUCGGUAUGUAAACUUCGUAAGAAUAGGAAGAAUAAAUGACGGUACUAUUUGUAAGGUCCGGCUAACUACGUGCCAGCAGCCGUGGUAAUACGUAGGGACCAAGCGUUGUUCGGAUUUACUGGGCGUAAAGGGCGCGUAGGCGGUGUGUCAAGUCAGUUGUGAAAUCUCCGAGCUUAACUCGGAACGGUCAACUGAUACUGUCACACUAGAGUACAGAAGGGGCAAUCGGAAUUCUUGGUGUAGCGGUGAAAUGCGUAGAUAUCAAGAGGAACACCUGAGGCGAAGGCGGGUUGCUGGGCUGAUACUGACGCUGAGGCGCGAAAGCUAGGGUAGCAAACGGGAUUAGAUACCCCUGUAGUCCCUGAGCGGGCUGGCAAGGCGCAU
RNAcentral lists this ribosomal RNA (447 nucleotides) under uncultured bacterium. Its description in RNAcentral is "bacterial SSU rRNA". It matches the Rfam family "Bacterial small subunit ribosomal RNA", at positions 355 to 825 of the family's 1533-position model. The record is from RNAcentral.